CCGACCGCGUCGUCCGAACUAGACAUUUCAGGAACGAGGACGGGGGACCCAUCUCCCGUGAGACCGGUUUCCGGCGGGCCCAGCGCCCAACGGAUUCCUUGGGGUGUAGCCGUGGCGGUACUCGUACCGGCGCGGCCGGGCAACCUCUCGCUCGAACCCGACAGCUGACUUCGUAGGCGCGUGGAGAGAGGAAAA
Molecule: small RNA, 195 nt
Filed under: Gordonia araii
Lineage: Bacteria; Bacillati; Actinomycetota; Actinomycetes; Mycobacteriales; Gordoniaceae
Description: c-di-AMP sequence
Rfam family: c-di-AMP riboswitch aptamer (ydaO/yuaA leader)
About the family: This family represents a conserved RNA structure found upstream of the ydaO and yuaA genes in Bacillus subtilis and related genes in other bacteria. The ydaO/yuaA element is thought to act as a genetic "off" switch for the ydaO and yuaA genes in its native state. It is believed that the element may be triggered during osmotic shock leading to activation of ydaO, a predicted amino acid transporter gene, and members of the yuaA-yubG operon which code for KtrA and KtrB K+ transporters.
Source: RNAcentral